RNAcentral lists this ribosomal RNA (838 nucleotides) under uncultured archaeon. Its description in RNAcentral is "bacterial SSU rRNA". It matches the Rfam family "Archaeal small subunit ribosomal RNA", at positions 23 to 860 of the family's 1478-position model. The record is from RNAcentral.
GUUACUGCUAUCGGAGUUCGAUUAAGCCAUGCGAGUCUAAAGGUUUCUUCGGAAACCUUGGCGGACUGCUCAGUAACACGUGGAUAACCUACCCUUGGGACUGGAAUAACCCCGGGAAACUGGGGAUAAUACCGGAUAGAUCAGGGAUGCUGGAAUGCGCCUUGAUCUAAAGCUCCGGCGCCCAAGGAUGGGUCUGCGGCCUAUCAGGUAGUAGUGGGUGUAAUGUACCUACUAGCCAACGACGGGUACGGGUUGUGAGAGCAAGAGCCCGGAGAUGGAUUCUGAGACACGAAUCCAGGCCCUGCGGGGUGCAGCAGGCGCGAAACCUUUACAAUGUGCGAAAGCAUGAUAAGGGAACUCCGAGUGCCAGUAUCUAAUACUGGCUGUCCUUGUGCCUAAAACGCACAAGAUAGCAAGGGCCGGGUAAGACCGGUGCCAGCCGCCGCGGUAACACCGGCGGCCCGAGUGGUAGCCGCUAUUAUUGGGUCUAAAGGGUCCGUAGCCGGUUCGAUGAGUCCUCUGGGAAAUCUGGUUGCUUAACAAUCAGACUGCCAAGGGAUACUGUCGAACUUGAGACCGGGAGAGGUAAGAGGUACUUCAGGGGUAGGAGUGAAAUCUUGUAAUCCCUGGGGGACCAUCUGUGGCGAAGGCGUCUUACCAGAACGGGUCUGACGGUGAGGGACGAAAGCUGGGGGCGCAAACCGGAUUAGAUACCCGGGUAGUCCCAGCCGUAAACGAUGCUCGCUAUGUGUCAGGUACGGUGUGACCGUAUCUGGUGCCGUAGGGAAGCCGUGAAGCGAGCCACCUGGGAAGUACGGUCGCAAGACUGAAACUUAAA